Non-coding RNA from Pelobates cultripes (western spadefoot toad), 281 nucleotides. The record is from the annotation of a GenBank genome assembly. NCBI's taxonomy places the organism in Eukaryota, Metazoa, Chordata, Amphibia, Anura, Pelobatidae.
GGGAAGGGGUGACUAGUGACAGAGUGAGAGGAUGACUGGUGACAGAGGGAGGGAGUGACUAGUGACACAGGGAGGUAGUGACAGAGUGAGGGAGGGGGUGACUGUCACUAGUCACCCCAUCACUCUCUCUGUCACUAGUCACUCCCUCCCUAACUGUCACCGUGUCACCCGCUCCCUCACUCUGUCACUAGUCACCCCCUCCCUUUGUCACUGUGUCACCCCCUCCCUCUGUCCCUAGCCACCCCUUCCCUCACUCUGUCACUAAUCACACCCUCUGUCCC